AGAGUUUGAUCCUGGCUCAGGAUGAACGCUGGCGGCGUGCUUAACACAUGCAAGUCGAACGGGCGAACAGAGGUAUGGAGUAUUCGUACAAUAUACAUUUGUAAGCUAGUGGCGAACGGGUGAGUAACACGUGAGCAAUCUACCUCAAGCAGUGGAAUAACAACGGGAAACCGUUGCUAAUACCGCAUAGAGUCUACCUUCGGCAUCGUAGGUAGAUAAAAGGGUUUCGACCCGGCCUGAGAUGAGCUCGCGUCCGAUUAGGUAGUUGGUGAGGUAACGGCCCACCAAGCCCGCGAUCGGUAGCCGGACUGAGAGGUUGACCGGCCACACUGGUACUGAGACACGGACCAGACUCCUACGGGAGGCAGCAGUGAGGAAUAUUGGUCAAUGGAGGCAACUCUGAACCAGCCACGUCGCGUGAAGGAGGACGGCCCUACGGGUUGUAAACUUCUUUUGCAAGGGAAUAAAGUGCGGCACGCGUGCCGUUUUGCAUGUACCUUGCGAAUAAGGAUCGGCUAACUCCGUGCCAGCAGCCGCGGUAAUACGGAGGAUCCGAGCGUUAUCCGGAUUUAUUGGGUUUAAAGGGUGCGCAGGCGGGGGAUUAAGUCGGUGGUGAAAUUUUGCGGCUCAACCGUAACAGUGCCAUUGAUACUGGUUCCCUUGAGUGUGGAUGGAGUAGGCGGAAUUUGUGGUGUAGCGGUGAAAUGCAUAGAUAUCACGAGGAACUCCGAUCGCGUAGGCAGCCUACUAGGCCAUAACUGACGCUCAUGCACGAAGGCGUGGGGAUCAAACAGGAUUAGAUACCCUGGUAGUCCACGCAGUAAACUAUGAUUACUGGCUGUUUGCGAUACACAGUAAGCGGCCCAGCGAAAGCGUUAAGUAAUCCACCUGGGGAGUACGUUCGCAAGAAUGAAACUCAAAGGAAUUGACGGGGGCCCGCACAAGCAGCGGAGCAUGUGGUUUAAUUCGAAGCAACGCGAAGAACCUUACCAGGGCUUGACAUCCCUCUGGCCGGUACAGAGAUGUACCUUUUCUUCGGAACAGAGGAGACAGGUGGUGCAUGGUUGUCGUCAGCUCGUGUCGUAAGAUGUUGGGUUAAGUCCCGCAACGAGCGCAACCCCUAUCUUUAGUUGCCAUCAGGUAGAGCUGGGCACUCUAGAGAGACCGCCGGGGAUAACUCGGAGGAAGGUGGGGAUGACGUCAAAUCAUCAUGCCCCUUAUGUCCUGGGCUACACACGUGCUACAAUGGCCUGAAACAGAGAGAAGCGAAGCCGUAAGGUGGAGCAAACCUCAGAAACCAGGUCCCAGUUCGGAUUGUGGGCUGCAACCCGCCCACAUGAAGUCGGAGUUGCUAGUAAUCGCGAAUCAGCAUGUCGCGGUGAAUGCGUUCCCGGGCCUUGUACACACCGCCCGUCACACCAUGGGAGUCGGGAGCACCCGAAGCCGGUGACCUAACCGCAAGGGAGGAGCCGUCGAAGGUGAAAUCGAUGACUGGGGUGAAGUCGUAACAAGGUA
RNAcentral lists this ribosomal RNA (1515 nucleotides) under uncultured bacterium. Its description in RNAcentral is "bacterial SSU rRNA". It matches the Rfam family "Bacterial small subunit ribosomal RNA". The record is from RNAcentral.